Non-coding RNA from Pelobates cultripes (western spadefoot toad), 354 nucleotides. NCBI's taxonomy places the organism in Eukaryota, Metazoa, Chordata, Amphibia, Anura, Pelobatidae. The record is from the annotation of a GenBank genome assembly.
CUAAACCAUUGGUCUGUGCUUUUUAACUUAAGAAAAUGUGCAUUUUUUUUAUUUGUCCAACUUAAAAAUACUGGAAAUCCUCCUUAAAGUUUUGAAAAGACUUAAAAGAUGAAAACUUAGUUCACAGUUGACCGUUCUGGUUUUAUACAAUCCGUAUAUGCUGUUUGGGUGUAUCACACAUUUACCCAGAGGUGAACCUAGGGUAUUUGGGCUUUGGGUAGUUUACCACAUUUUCACACAAUUAUUGUUGAGGUUGCAGAGCAAGGUGGCAUAGGAUCAAGCCCCUCCAUGUUUCCGUGUUCAAAAUAUUUGUACGUGGUAUAGCAGAAUUGCUGCAGCCGCUCUGACUGUCUA